AACGAACGCUGGCGGCAGGCUUAACACAUGCAAGUCGAACGGUUGUAGCAAUACAGCAGUGGCGCACGGGUGAGUAACGCGUGGAUAUCUGCCUUUUGGUUCGGAAUAACUCCGGGAAACUGGAGCUAAUACCGGAAGGUUCCUACGGGAUAAAGAUUUAUCGCCAAAAGAUGAGUCCGCGUACGAUUAGCUAGUUGGUGGGGUAAUGGCCCACCAAGGCGACGAUCGUUAGCUGGUCUGAGAGGACGAUCAGCCACACUGGGACUGAGACACGGCCCAGACUCCUACGGGAGGCAGCAGUGGGGAAUAUUGGACAAUGGGGGCAACCCUGAUCCAGCCAUGCCGCGUGAGUGAUGAAGGCCUUCGGGUUGUAAAGCUCUUUUGGCGGGGACGAUGAUGACGGUACCCGCAGAAUAAGCCCCGGCUAACUUCGUGCCAGCAGCCGCGGUAA
Molecule: ribosomal RNA, 451 nt
Filed under: uncultured bacterium
Lineage: Bacteria
Description: partial 16S ribosomal RNA
Rfam family: Bacterial small subunit ribosomal RNA
Source: RNAcentral